UGGGUAGUCCGCACGAGCGCACCUUACUUUUAGUUGCUACCAUUUAGUUGGGCACUCUAAAAGAACUGCCAGUGAUAAGCUGGAGGAAGGUGGGGAUGACGUCAAGUCCUCAUGGCCCUUAUGUGUUGGGCUACACACGUGCUACAAUGGUACUUACAGUGAGAAGCGAAGAGGCGACUCCAAGCUAAUCUCAAAAAGGUACCUCAGUUCGGAUUGUACUCUGCAACUCGAGUACAUGAAGCUGGAAUUACUAGUAAUCGCGGAUCAGCGCGCCGCGGUGAAUACGUUCCCGGGUCUUGUACACACCGCCCGUCACACCAUGGAAGUUGGUUACACCUUAAGGCAAAGCAUAAAACCUUUGACUACGGUACGAUCAGCGACUGGGGUGAAGUCGUAACAAGGUAGCCGUAGGGGAACCUGCGGCUGGAUCACCUCCUUUCU
RNAcentral lists this ribosomal RNA (441 nucleotides) under uncultured Pelagibacterales bacterium. RNAcentral describes it as "bacterial SSU rRNA". It matches the Rfam family "Bacterial small subunit ribosomal RNA", at positions 1077 to 1533 of the family's 1533-position model. The record is from RNAcentral. Lineage: Bacteria; Pseudomonadati; Pseudomonadota; Alphaproteobacteria; Candidatus Pelagibacterales.